UCAUGUUUUGCUCAACAAACAGCCAAACAAAUAAUUCAAUUAAUAAGUCAAACAAUUUUCAAGUUCAAAAAUGAAAGUAGGUGUGAAAUUCAUUCUACAUUCAUCUUUGGGAAAUAUCAAGACAAUCUACACAGUGUUUCUUAUGUGUUAUUAAUCAUGUCUGAAAAUUUCUCAAUGAAAGAAGUUGUACACUUCUCUAGUUAAUAAUUCAUAUUGAAUGUCUAGGCACGAAAUCUAGUUUCCUGACAUAUUAUUAAAAAUCAUCGGAUCAUGUGUGUUGAAUUUGCUAUUGGAGCAUUAGUAUUUUCCAUGUGNNNNNNNNNNNNNNNNNNNNNNNNNNNNNNNNNNNNNNNNNNNNNNNNNNNNNNNNNNNGAAAAUUAUAGUACAUAAAAAUCUCAUCGAAAGUUUAGUCAAGUAAAAUUCUGGGCAUAUAGUCAACAUAUUCGUUUGUAGAUGCAAGAAUAUAUCCAUUUUUCGUGGCAUGUAAAUACAUUUUCAUAAUAUUCAAUUUAAUGUUAUGAAAAGAGACUAAGAUAUGUCAAAAGAAUACUCGUAAAAAAAGGUAUAGUUCUACAGAUGUAUAAAAGAAAGAAUUUCUUUGUAGACAACAUUUUUAGUACAUGUAGGGUGUAAAGUUUUAGUGCUCGACGGUUUAAGUAGAACUUUUGGUGUAAGGAGAGCCUUAUAUAAAAAGGUCUUGCCUGUUCCUCCAGGACCAUCUAUGAAGAAGAUCCCACUUGAUUUUGAAUUUACUUUUCCCAUAAUUGAAUCAUAUGCAAAUCGUUGUUCAUUAUUUAAGCUUGCUGCACAAGCAUGGCCUCCUUCAAUAUCCAAAAUUGUGGUUUCCUCUGCAACUAUUCUUCUCAACCUUUCAUUCUCAUCUAUACCUACACUAAAUGGAACGGUUUCGUAGUCAUUUAUAUUUUUACCAAAUUAUUCUAAAACAGAACUGAUGUCUUCUAAAGCUUGUAGUUCAACAACUUCUGGAGCUAUAUCUUUAUUUACAUAAUCAUCAAUCAUAUAAUCCUUGAAUUUAUCCCAUAGCAACUUUGGACUAUCAGGGUUGCAAAGCAUAAGAAGAGUAGCAAAGAGACGUCUUAAAGAAAUAGGCAUUUCAUAAAUAAUAGCUUCAGAUAAACACUCUUUACAAUGAUUGUCUCCGCUUAACAAAUCAUAUAAAAUUACAGCUUCUUUGUAUGUACUAAAAGUUUUCCCAUUUAAAGUACGUAAAUCAUGGAACGAUGUUGGACCUCGAAUAUCAUUGAGAAGAAUGAGGAGGAAAUAUCACUCUCCUUCAGAUGGCUUUGUUGUGACAAUUCGUCCAAUAACAAAUUGUUUAUUUCUAAGAGUCCAAAUCUUCUUAGUUGAAUUCCAAACAAAAUUUGUUGGGAAAUCUCGAUACAACAGUGUACAUGCAAAUUCAUUUGCUUCAUUCAUUCGAAAAAAUUCUGUUAACAUUGUCCUUUUCGUAUUUUCAUUCUCAAUAACAGUAGAUAAAUCAUCUUGAUCAUCAUAUCUUACUUGAUGAUGAUUUUCAAUAUGAAGCUAUAAAGAAUAAACUGUUGGAUAAAUCUUUGUCAAAUUGAAUAAAAAAAUCCUCCACAUAGUUUCAGGUGGAGAUAUCCAUCUAGGAGAUUGAUAAGCAAAGAUUUCAUCAAUUUCUUUCUCU
RNAcentral lists this long non-coding RNA (1670 nucleotides) under Olea europaea (common olive). RNAcentral describes it as "long non-coding RNA (OEUR_LNC014362)". Lineage: Eukaryota; Viridiplantae; Streptophyta; Magnoliopsida; Lamiales; Oleaceae. The record is from RNAcentral.